This is a long non-coding RNA of Cavia porcellus (domestic guinea pig), 339 nucleotides long. RefSeq lists it as uncharacterized. The transcript is spliced from 3 exons. The record is from RefSeq and is a predicted model, not a curated record. Lineage: Eukaryota; Metazoa; Chordata; Mammalia; Rodentia; Caviidae.
AGUACCUCCAAGCCCGUUAGCUAACUAUUGUGGGUCAGAUGUCACGACAGAGCUCAGAAACUUACGGCUUCACAUCCAUUGAGGUUGGCCACCUGGCACGACACAUGACCAACACCGUAGAAGCCCCUGGAGGUAACUGUGCCUUUCUCUCAUCCUCUGGGCUCCUGUUGGUGUUGACAGAUGUGAAGACCUAGCCUACCCAGAUAGCUUCUGGUUGGAGAUGGAAGGAACCUAAGCCUUUGAAUUACUGUAUGGAGGAGAGUAGCUGAUCCUUCAGGAAAUACUGAACUAGGAAGACAUGACUACUUUAUUUGAGCCACUAUCAACUCUUUGGUCUCA